Long non-coding RNA from Artibeus jamaicensis (Jamaican fruit-eating bat), 1573 nucleotides. RefSeq lists it as uncharacterized. The record is from RefSeq and is a predicted model, not a curated record. Lineage: Eukaryota; Metazoa; Chordata; Mammalia; Chiroptera; Phyllostomidae. The transcript has 3 exons.
GCCACUGCCGGUGUCCUGAGCAGGCCGGGAUGGCUCACGCCAUUUGUCAGGGUGUGUGACCAAGCUGAAGGACAGUCACGUUUUGCUUCCAUCCUGUGCCCUGAAGGUGAGGGCAUUCCCUGCAGCCCCCUCCGUCCACCACUGUGUGACCACAAGUAAAACGUGCUGAGGAAAAGGCCACCAACACCAGUCCGCUUCGUCUAACUUGUCACAGACGCGAUGAAGACAUAAGUUACAGCGCCGUGAUCCAGUUACAGUGACUCUGCCUGAUUUCCAGGAGAAGGAGAAAGCUGCCUGCCUGUAAGAGCGGUCAGUUCUGCCUGGCUGGUUGCUGAUGAGACGGAGUCAUAGCAGAUGGAUUGGGUCACUCAUACUGCAAACGGCCCAGCCCUGGAAGCUGCCAGAGGAAGCCGAUGUUUUGGGAGGAAUCGCUCUCCACGGAGCAGCUGCUCACGAGUCCGCCGGUGCGGGUGCCUCCGGCUGCUGCCUGCUUUUCCUCUUGCCUGUGGGCCACCUCUCGUCACCCAGCAUCAGGCCACGGCCUGUGGCACACCUUCCCUGGUGCCACACACACCACGGGGGUGGGGGAGAAAGGAAACCCUUCUAGCCAAACCCCAAAGUCACCUUCAAAUGCAUUCAUUCGGAGUCAAGCUUGGGCCUUUCUUUAGGCAAACGCUGCCUUCUCGUUACACGGCUAAAGGGUGAUUUCACUCAUGUGCUCACAAUGCCUUCUGAAAAUAGACCGGAACGCCUUCUAAUAACACAAUCAAUAUCGGAGUGAUCACGUGUUACCAAACAAGCAUUGUGGGCUUUUAACUGAAGUCUGUUCCUUCCAUUGUAACUAACUGUGCUCACAGAACAAAAACACAUGUAUGGGGAAGUAGGAGAAAAGGCCCACAGUCCCUCACUGGACACCACCCUGCUCCGACUUAGGCAAAUCCCUAUGGGGUUUCUGUAACACAUGAAUGGUCUGAUAUAACGUGUACAUACAGUUCGGCAUCUGCCUCCCUCUUCCGUUCACCUCUCCCCUUUAAGAAAAACCUUCCUUGGCCCUUUGAAAUGUCAUGUAAGGGCUUCCUUUUUCCCUGGGGCUGACAGUGUCCCUGCUGCUGACCACCUCGAGCCUCCCAUCCUUCUGCCUUGGAUAACGCCCCAGGGAGCGUAGUGUGCACAGGGCCCUUUCCGCCUCCUCGGACCAGCAGCUGGGCUUGCAAAACUGGGUCCCCCGCAGUGUCUGGCCUCUCUGACCUAACACUAAGUCACUUGGUAUUUCAGCAUUGACAUUCUGUCCUAUUAGCAAUGCUAAUAAAACCUCUGAAAAGUAAACCUGAACAGUUAAGUGGCCUUUAAGAAAAUACUAUGGGAAUGGGAAUGGGGUGCCCAGUACCUCGGGGGCACCCGUAUUUUGAUCACAUCGUCCUGGGAAAACGGCAGCCACGCCGACCCAACUCUGUCACUGCAAAAGCUGAGUCAUUACACGGUGUCAAAAGAGGCAGACAAAUUCCCUGAUGACUCACGAAGUGAGGAGACAAGCGGCCUCGCUCCCAGCCACAGACAUCAUAGUUCCCGGAGG